RNAcentral lists this non-coding RNA (100 nucleotides) under Sediminibacillus halophilus. RNAcentral describes it as "Guanine sequence". It matches the Rfam family "Purine riboswitch aptamer". From Rfam's summary of the family: Riboswitches are metabolite binding domains within certain messenger RNAs that serve as precision sensors for their corresponding targets. Allosteric rearrangement of mRNA structure is mediated by ligand binding, and this results in modulation of gene expression. Lineage: Bacteria; Bacillati; Bacillota; Bacilli; Caryophanales; Bacillaceae. The record is from RNAcentral.
UCAGCUGAAUUUACCAUACCUCAUAUAAUUUUGGGAAUAGGGCCCAAUAGUCUCUACCCGUCACCGUAAAUGACGGACUAUGAGGGAGGAUGUAACCCCC